GCCCCAGCCAGUUGGCAAGAAAGCAAGAAUGCACACAAUUAUAUCUUGAGCUGUCAUGUGAGGCAGUGCAAUUAAAGUGACCAAAAUGGAGACGAAAGUAAGGAAUAUCAUUCCCUUAAUCAGCAGGAACAGAAGCUGGAAGCUUGCACUGAACUUUCGUCUUCCAACAGAUACUGUCUUCAUAACAAACAAUAUUAGAAAGAUCACCAGCCAUGAUAUUCCCUAGACCAGAAAACUUUUAGUGUUCUUCGUGAUCUUUAAGUGAUAUACCAGCCCA
Molecule: unclassified non-coding RNA, 277 nt
Filed under: Hevea brasiliensis (rubber tree)
Lineage: Eukaryota; Viridiplantae; Streptophyta; Magnoliopsida; Malpighiales; Euphorbiaceae
Source: RNAcentral